UACGGAGGGAGCUAGCGUUGUUCGGAAAUACUGGGCGUAAAGCGCACGUAGGCGGCGCAGCAAGUCAGGGGUGAAAUCCCGGGGCUCAACCUCGGAACUGCCCUUGAAACUGCAGUGCUAGAAUCUUGGAGAGGCGAGUGGAAUUCCGAGUGUAGAGGUGAAAUUCGUAGAUACUCGGAAGAACACCAGUGGCGAAGGCGACUCGCUGGACAAGUAUUGACGCUGAGGUGCGAAAGCGUGGGGAGCAAACAGG
RNAcentral lists this ribosomal RNA (253 nucleotides) under uncultured bacterium. RNAcentral describes it as "partial 16S ribosomal RNA". It matches the Rfam family "Bacterial small subunit ribosomal RNA", at positions 524 to 776 of the family's 1533-position model. The record is from RNAcentral.